GACGAACGCUGGCGGCGUGCUUAACACAUGCAAGUCGAACGGAAAGGCCCUGCUUUUGUGGGGUGCUCGAGUGGCGAACGGGUGAGUAACACGUGAGUAACCUGCCCUUGACUUUGGGAUAACUUCAGGAAACUGGGGCUAAUACCGGAUAGGAGCUCCUGCUGCAUGGUGGGGGUUGGAAAGUUUCGGCGGUUGGGGAUGGACUCGCGGCUUAUCAGCUUGUUGGUGGGGUAGUGGCUUACCAAGGCUUUGACGGGUAGCCGGCCUGAGAGGGUGACCGGCACAAUGGGACUGAGGAGAGGGCCAGGAUUCCUCGGGGGGCAAGAGGUGGGAAUAUUGCACAAUGGGCGGAAGCCUGAUGCAGCAACGCCGCGUGCGGGAUGACGGCCUUCGGGUUGUAAACCGCUUUCGCCUGUGACGAAGCGUGAGUGACGGUAAUGGGUAAAGAAGCACCGGCUAACUACGUG
Molecule: ribosomal RNA, 467 nt
Filed under: uncultured bacterium
Lineage: Bacteria
Description: partial 16S ribosomal RNA
Rfam family: Bacterial small subunit ribosomal RNA
Source: RNAcentral